CAACAGGUUUUUCUGAAAACCAUACUUGUAUUUAUUUACAUGCUUG
Molecule: non-coding RNA, 46 nt
Organism: Pelecanus crispus (Dalmatian pelican)
Lineage: Eukaryota; Metazoa; Chordata; Aves; Pelecaniformes; Pelecanidae
Source: Rfam